Molecule: long non-coding RNA, 2593 nt
Organism: Heterocephalus glaber (naked mole-rat)
Lineage: Eukaryota; Metazoa; Chordata; Mammalia; Rodentia; Bathyergidae
Source: Ensembl
CCAGGGGAGACGGCGUUUGGGUUUUUGACGCGCCCUGGAUCGAACUCUGCAGUCCAGCCUGCGCUUUUCCAGAUGCUUUUGCAGGCCAGAGGCCUCACCAGUCUCUCAGGAGUGGUUAGCGAGCCCAUCCCCCCCCCCCCCCAGCAGACCCACCCGAGCCCUGCGGACGACGCUCAGCUGUCCAAACACGCAGCGGCGCGUUCAGUCCCAGUGACUCGCGUGAUGAUUAACGAGCGGCUUGAUCAUUUAAUAUCGCGUGUGAUUAAAUUAUGAGGUGUGGGGGAGGGGAGCGCUGCACUCCCGGCCAACCGGGCGGAUGCCGCCAGCCGGCGGGUCUGGGCUGAGCGCACGGAGCCGGCUAGCUCGCUGUGCACUGCGCCUGGCGAGGCUUGAGCCGCGGUCCGCGCCUUCCCGAGCGUAAACAAUGUGUGCCUUGUGGGAGCAAUGCCUUUCCCGGAAAUUAAAGGAAACCGGAAACCGGACCGGAAAAGUCACAGGCAUAAGUGUGUCUUUGGAAAGAAAGACUCCACGCUCUCAAUAUUAACCUGGGGAUGAGGGGCACGGUGGGUGCCAAUUCCCCAGACUGUGGUCAAUCUGCCGUCUAACUAAAGGGUGCCAGGAUACUAACGACUCCCAAACUGGCAAGAUAAAAACUUAGUUUUCUUCUUCUUAUCCACGAGAUCCCUUAAGUCUGUUGCUUUCGGAAGACACCUGCAAAAAUGACGUGGAAAUCAGUGGCGCACCGGGUGGCAUUGUUCCUGGAUGCGUGGGGACGCCGGCGGCGCGGCCUGGCUGCGCGGCCUGGCUACACGUCCGGAGCGCGAGUCAGCAGUCAGCGCGCAUUGAUUUCACCCCGAGUCUCCGCCCUGCUGCCGAACAUCAUUUAGGCCAAGAUCGGGAUAAUGGGAAACACCAUCAGCAGACAAUUACCCUUUCAGAGGAUUCACUUCUCCUCACAGACACUGUUAUUUGAGAAAUAGGAUCAUUUGAUUUCAUAUUGCACUAAAUAACACCCAGCCGGUUCAAAUUGCCAGCUUCUUAAAAACCGCCCAUUGGAAUAAAUUGCAGCGGCCUCUUUUGCUUUUCAGGGAAAUAUGACCGGGACUGGGCAGAACUUGCAAAAAUAACUACAAAGCCAGCCCCGAGCAGUCGCUAUUGGUGGGAACAGCGCUGCCACCCCACAAGCAAAGACAUCCAGGCACUUUGUCCCUUGUCACCGCCCCCCUCCGCCUGCCAACUUUGAGAGGAUUCAACUACUUGGCUUUGGAAUUAAAAUGCUCAGCCCCAGCCACCCCGAGAAUGCGCCUCGAGCCACCCGGCGCACUAAUGUUGAGCCACGAGAGACGGGCAGGUGCGCGAGACAACAGGCUUCUCGGUAGCUUUCAGAGUGUGUGCCUUUGGAUACAGCCGCGGAGCUGGGGCCCCGAGGCGUGAGCGUGCGCCCCCCACGGUCCCGGGUCUCAGAUCCUAGUGCAGAGAGCGGCGCGGCCAACGGUCAGCGCGGGUCCCAUCGCUGCAUCCUGCUUCCAGGUGCGCCUUGUAGGCCUUUCUGCCUUCACAACCGGCGCCAAGUCGGCGGCCCUGGCAGGGUCUCGCAGGCAGGCAGGCAGGAGGAGAGGGCAAGCGGCCGGCGGCGGAAGACGUUUCAGAAAGAUUUAAGCCUUUUGAAGUCGACCACUUACUGUGUUUUGACACUGUUGGAUUGACAAUUGUCCAGCUGGAUGGGGGCGACCUACCCCCUACACUUUAAAAAUACAUAAGAGUUGACUCCUUGGUCCUUGUUCUUUUGUGCUACGACAAAACUACGUAACUACGACAGCGCGGGUUUGGGGAACCUGUCGGUGGAGGUCUUUAUGACAUUGGUGUUCAUGUACUUCAGGAGGCCGAAUUAGAUUCCCUCUCUCCUGCUUUUACUGAAGGCCAGAUCCUGGGGGCUCCCCGGUGCGCCCUACUCGGGUUGACCUGCAAGACCUGUUAGUGGGUCUAGGGACCCGGACCCAGGUGGCGAGGCCUAGGGGGAAACGGUUUGUCUAAAAGCAAGCAGUUUCUUGGAAGGUGAUCUCAGGAAACACCCAAGUUGAGGGCAGAGAAGAAGACACGGGCACAGGGAGAAUGUGCCCGAAGACCUGAGGCUCCAUGCUGAAUGAGGGUCCCUCAUGCCAGUUAUUUCCCUUCACAGCAGCCAGGCCAGCACUCCCGUAGGUGUACCAAAUGGCUAUCACUCUCUUGGACACCACAGAGCAAUGGCAGCACAAGCCAAGGGAAGAUUCCAGAACCUAUGACUAGGUUUGUGUGGAUUUGCAGUCAGUGGAUGCAUGUCCAUCAACCGUUUGGAAUCCAGGUUUCUAUAUUGGACUUUUAAUCAUGAGGUUUCCAAUGACAGAAUAAGCCCUGAAACAAAUGGACUAUUGUGCUCCCAGGAAAUGUGUUGCUAAGUAUGUUGUUUUUCAGUAAAACCACUAAAGAUAGAUGGCAGACAACUUGUACGAGUAGAGGAGCCAGAGAUUGACAAUUCUUUCUCAGUGGCUCUUACUGACCACACGGGGAUUUCUGUAGCUCUUGAAUGCAUUCUUCCUGCAAUCCCAUUUUAAAA